CAUGCAAGUCGAACGGGAAACCUUUUAUUGAAGCUUCGGCAGAUUUAGCUGGUUUCUAGUGGCGGACGGGUGAGUAACGCGUGGGUAACCUGCCUUAUACAGGGGGAUAACAGUCAGAAAUGGCUGCUAAUACCGCAUAAGCGCACAGAGCUGCAUGGCUCAGUGUGAAAAACUCCGGUGGUAUAAGAUGGACCCGCGUUGGAUUAGCUGGUUGGUGGGGUAACGGCCCACCAAGGCGACGAUCCAUAGCCGGCCUGAGAGGGUGAACGGCCACAUUGGGACUGAGACACGGCCCAGACUCCUACGGGAGGCAGCAGUGGGGAAUAUUGCACAAUGGGGGAAACCCUGAUGCAGCGACGCCGCGUGAAGGAAGAAGUAUCUCGGUAUGUAAACUUCUAUCAGCAGGGAAGAUAAUGACGGUACCUGACUAAGAAGCCCCGGCUAACUACGUGCCAGCAGCCGCGGUAAUACGUAGGGGGCAAGCGUUAUCCGGAUUUACUGGGUGUAAAGGGAGCGUAGACGGUGUGGCAAGUCUGAUGUGAAAGGCAUGGGCUCAACCCGUGGACUGCAUUGGAAACUGUCAUACUUGAGUGCCGGAGGGGUAAGCGGAAUUCCUAGUGUAGCGGUGAAAUGC
Molecule: ribosomal RNA, 634 nt
Filed under: uncultured bacterium
Lineage: Bacteria
Description: bacterial SSU rRNA
Rfam family: Bacterial small subunit ribosomal RNA
Source: RNAcentral